CUCCGCAGUCGUCCCGGUCGUCACAUCUCCAGCUACUUUGAAUACAGCGUUGAUUAUGGCAUUGAAACAUACCGCUGGCACAUUUGAACGAAAUUCCUAUCAGACAUACAAAAGAUCCUCGCUUUCCUUAUUCCGUCGGAAUAAGCCGCGCUACUGCAUUCGUCCAUUCUAUGCGCGAUCGAAAAAGUAAAUGCUAUUUGGUAUGGAAGUCAAAUGUGUAAUGGCAUCUUGGGAUAUGGGGUAAACAGAUAGGGUCAGAGAUGCAAGAUUCUUCAUAUCCAGAUCACCGCACUCACCUCUGCUUUCAACCCCUUCCAGCGUCACUCUUGCAAGAGCAAAGAGAAGAAAUGUAGAGAUGAUGCUACAAGCCAUUCUCACCAAAGCUAAUGAGAAUCGCGAUAAACUUUCUUGUGUGAGCGGAUGUUUGUUUUAUCGUUACAAGUUAAGGGGCCUUUCGUCGAAUGCUCACCUCAGAAACACUGCGGCACAAUGAGAGAUGGAACCCAUCCAGCGACAUUAGCAUAUUGCACAAAACCACACGAUACCUCACGCCACCUGACGUCACAUGCAGACGUCUCUGGUCACACAAUCUUCCUGAAUUGAGUAAGGUCAAGUAAGAUAACCAGGUAACGGCCUCCGAGUCAGUGCAUUUGAGCAAUUUUGCUUCUUAUAAUCGAGGGAGUCAUUUAGCUUGUUUCAACACAGGGCUAUUAGUAACCUCCACGAUUACUCUGUUGACCAUUUGUCUAGUUGUGGAGUUCCCUUACACAUGGAGUGAACAUAAUUUUCUAUAUUGGCUGCAGGGCCACCCUACCUAGGUAUACGAUUUCUUUAGAGCGCCCCACUUUGAUUGCCUCCCGGGGGGAAUUCUUCAAGGUAAAAGUGAUAAAGAUGCUCGUCGGAAAAUUCGAAAAGCACCAGCACGACCAAAAAUUGCUACCCUAAACAAUACAUCAGGAGCCUUAAAA
This is a long non-coding RNA of Nematostella vectensis (starlet sea anemone), 968 nucleotides long. RefSeq lists it as uncharacterized. Lineage: Eukaryota; Metazoa; Cnidaria; Anthozoa; Actiniaria; Edwardsiidae. The transcript has 3 exons. The record is from RefSeq and is a predicted model, not a curated record.